AUGCAUCUCUGACAGACCUGGUGCAGUUAAUGUCUGUUGCUAAGGUUUCCACAACACAUGCAGUAAAAAGAAGGUCCUUGCACUUUCUAUCUGGUUGUGGCAGCCAGGACUGAAUGGGGGAAUACAGGG
Molecule: small nucleolar RNA, 129 nt
Filed under: Dasypus novemcinctus (nine-banded armadillo)
Lineage: Eukaryota; Metazoa; Chordata; Mammalia; Cingulata; Dasypodidae
Description: Small nucleolar RNA SNORA31 (ENSDNOG00000039983.1)
Source: RNAcentral